Molecule: ribosomal RNA, 253 nt
Filed under: uncultured bacterium
Lineage: Bacteria
Description: partial 16S ribosomal RNA
Rfam family: Bacterial small subunit ribosomal RNA
Source: RNAcentral
UACAGAGGGGGCAAGCGUUAUUCGGAAUUAUUGGGCGUAAAGGGCGCGUAGGCGGCCCUGUGUGUCGGGUGUGAAAGCCCACCUCUUAAAGGUGGAAUUGCAUUCGAAACUACAGGGCUGGAGUGUCGGAGAGGAUGACGGAAUUCCUGGUGUAGAGGUGAAAUUCGUAGAUAUCAGGAGGAACACCGGUGGCGAAGGCGGCCAUCUGGACGACAACUGACGCUGAGGCGCGAAAGCGUGGGGAUCAAACAGG